Molecule: transfer RNA, 75 nt
Filed under: Candidatus Parcubacteria bacterium
Lineage: Bacteria; Candidatus Parcubacteria
Description: tRNA-Glu
Rfam family: tRNA
About the family: Transfer RNA (tRNA) molecules are approximately 80 nucleotides in length. Their secondary structure includes four short double-helical elements and three loops (D, anti-codon, and T loops).
Source: RNAcentral
GGCCCCAUCGUCUAAUGGCAAGGACGUCAGUUUCUCAAGCUGAAAAUAGGGGUUCAAAUCCCCUUGGGGCCACAA